ACCCUUCUAAAAAAGCACUUGUUGGGUCUGUGCGCAGUGGCUCAGCGAGUUGUCGUGGAAGGGCAGAGUAAAGCCAUCGCUUUUGGGUGAAGUGGCAGCUUGUGCUGUUCAUUUCAAUCAGUGGUGUGACAUCU
Molecule: small nucleolar RNA, 134 nt
Organism: Balearica pavonina (black crowned-crane)
Lineage: Eukaryota; Metazoa; Chordata; Aves; Gruiformes; Gruidae
Source: Rfam